AUUGAAGUGAGAUGCCACGAGGUCAAGCAGCUCCUUGGCCAAAAGCUUGGGCUGGAGGGAGAACAAAAUGGAAAAAGGGUGAGGACACAGUGAGAAGGCUGCCAUCUGCAAGUCAGGAAGAGAGCCCUCAUAGAGCCCGACCAGGCUGGCACCCAGACCUCGAACUUGCAGCCUCCAGAACUUCACGUGAAGUCAAGUCUGGUGAAUGGUGACAGAGGUGGCGGAGGUGAGGAGCACAUUGGAUCAAGUUGGUUUUAUAAAAUGAGGUACUUUGAACUUGGUUAAUGUGAGUCUUCCCCCGAGGAUGAACAAUCGGGUUUCUGCACUGCAGAGCUAGGGGACUGACUUGACAUGCUGAAAAAUUCACCAGAAUAAUGGAUGGCACCUUAGGAGCCUUGUUGACACUGACUUUUGGUUUCUCCAUGGUGACACAUCCCUAUGAUUUAGCCUGUCACCGCAAUCCUUUUUUACAUUGGAAUUUCUACAGUAAAAAACCAAAUUUUCUUGGGGACGCAUACACUGAACGCAGCUAAAAGGAACUGAGCAAUAGCAGCAUCCCUCAAAUAAACUUUAUCAUCUCAGCCUAACUCUUUUCAAGGAUAGGAUCCGUUUGGAUGCAUAUCUUUGGUCAAAAAAUUAAAAAAGGUGGGCUUGCCUGGUGGCGUAGUGGU
Molecule: long non-coding RNA, 671 nt
Organism: Balaenoptera musculus (blue whale)
Lineage: Eukaryota; Metazoa; Chordata; Mammalia; Artiodactyla; Balaenopteridae
Exons: 4
Source: RefSeq, a predicted model, not a curated record